UACAGAGGUGCCAAGCGUUAGGCGGAAUCACUGGGCUUAAAGCGCGUGUAGGUGGAUGGGUAAGUAUCUUGUGAAGUCCCACGGCUCAACCGUGGAACUGCUGGAUAUACUGCCUGUCUUGAGGCACUCAGGGGCAGCUGGAACAAAUGGUGGAGCGGUGAAAUGCGUAGAUAUCAUUUGGAACGCCAAAGGCGAAAGCAGGCUGCUGGGAGUGAUCUGACACUGAGACGCGAAAGCCAGGGGAGCAAACGGG
RNAcentral lists this ribosomal RNA (253 nucleotides) under uncultured prokaryote. RNAcentral's name for it is "partial 16S ribosomal RNA". It matches the Rfam family "Bacterial small subunit ribosomal RNA", at positions 524 to 776 of the family's 1533-position model. The record is from RNAcentral.